RNAcentral lists this ribosomal RNA (466 nucleotides) under Eurotiomycetes sp. MBL_109. RNAcentral describes it as "SSU rRNA". The stretch from base 1 to 414 matches the Rfam family "Eukaryotic small subunit ribosomal RNA", at positions 1200 to 1661 of the family's 1831-position model. The record is from RNAcentral. RNAcentral also lists the same sequence under 1 other name. Lineage: Eukaryota; Fungi; Ascomycota; Eurotiomycetes.
UUAUCACCCGGAACUCCCAGUCCAACAAAUAAAGAUGACAGAUGAGACUCUUCUUAUUUUUGAUGGGGUGCAUGCCGUUUUAUUGGUGGAGUGAUUUUUUGUUAAUGCGAUACGAACGAGACCUCGGCCCUUAAAAGCCCGGUCCGCGUCCGCGGGCCGCUGGCUUCUUAGGGGGACUAUCGGCUCAAGCCGAUGGAAGUGCGCGGCAAUAACAGGUCUGUGAUGCCCUUAGAUGUUCUGGGCCGCACGCGCGCUACACUGACAGGGCCAGCGAGUCAUCACCUUGGCCGAGAGGCCCGGGUAAUCUUGUUAAACCCUGUCGUGUGGGGAUAGAGCAUUGAAAUAUUGCUCUUCAACGAGGAAUGCCUAGUAGGCACGAGUCAUCAGCUCGUGCCGAUUACGUCCCUGCCCUUUUUUCUCUUCCACCCGUACGCUACUACCGUAUUUAAAAAUGGUCCUUUCGCGG